This 253-nucleotide ribosomal RNA is filed under the name uncultured bacterium. RNAcentral's name for it is "partial 16S ribosomal RNA". It matches the Rfam family "Bacterial small subunit ribosomal RNA", at positions 524 to 776 of the family's 1533-position model. The record is from RNAcentral.
UACGUAGGGGGCUAGCGUUGCCCGGAAUCACUGGGCGUAAAGCGCGCGCAGGCGGCUUGUUAAGUCAGGGGUGAAAUCCUGGAGCUCAACUCCGGAACUGCCUGUGAUACUGGCGAUCUCGAGUCCGGGAGAGGUGAGUGGAACUGCGAGUGUAGAGGUGAAAUUCGUAGAUAUUCGCAAGAACACCAGUGGCGAAGGCGGCUCACUGGCCCGGUACUGACGCUGAGGUGCGAAAGCGUGGGGAGCAAACAGG